This 253-nucleotide ribosomal RNA is filed under the name uncultured bacterium. RNAcentral describes it as "partial 16S ribosomal RNA". It matches the Rfam family "Bacterial small subunit ribosomal RNA", at positions 524 to 776 of the family's 1533-position model. The record is from RNAcentral.
GACAGAGGGUGCAAGCGUUAAUCGGAAUUACUGGGCGUAAAGGGCUUGUAGGCGGUUAUUUAAGUUGGAUGUAAAAACCCUGGGCUUAACCUGGGACUGUCAUUCAAGACUGGAUAACUAGAGUAAGGUAGAGGUGAGUGGAAUUUCCGGUGUAGCGGUGAAAUGCGUAGAUAUCGGAAGGAACAUCAGUGGCGAAGGCGGCUCACUGGACCUUAACUGACGCUGAGGAGCGAAAGCGUGGGUAGCAAACAGG